ACACAUAAUAAAAUCCUAAGAAUUUUAAAAUGCAGAAAAGUAUUUUUUAACAAAUUAAAACAAAAAAAAAAGAGAAAAUUCAUGAAAAAUAGAAAGUCAAUAAAAUAAAAUGUGUGAAAAAUAAGAAUCAGAUGAAGAAAAAAAAAGAAUUUUAGAAAUUACUUUGGGAUUUUUUUGAUAAAAAAUGAAAUUACUACGAAUUUUUAAAGA
RNAcentral lists this long non-coding RNA (210 nucleotides) under Lathyrus oleraceus (garden pea). RNAcentral describes it as "Pisum sativum (pea) long non-coding RNA (PSAT_LNC013142)". Lineage: Eukaryota; Viridiplantae; Streptophyta; Magnoliopsida; Fabales; Fabaceae. The record is from RNAcentral.